UCCUACGGGAGGCAGCAGUGGGGAAUAUUGCACAAUGGGCGCAAGCCUGAUGCAGCCAUGCCGCGUGUAUGAAGAAGGCCUUCGGGUUGUAAAGUACUUUCAGCGGGGAGGAAGGGAGUAAAGUUAAUACCUUUGCUCAUUGACGUUACCCGCAGAAGAAGCACCGGCUAACUCCGUGCCAGCAGCCGCGGUAAU
RNAcentral lists this ribosomal RNA (195 nucleotides) under Escherichia sp. RNAcentral's name for it is "partial 16S ribosomal RNA". It matches the Rfam family "Bacterial small subunit ribosomal RNA", at positions 337 to 524 of the family's 1533-position model. Lineage: Bacteria; Pseudomonadati; Pseudomonadota; Gammaproteobacteria; Enterobacterales; Enterobacteriaceae. The record is from RNAcentral.